CCUACGGGUGGCAGCAGUGGGGAAUAUUGGACAAUGGGGGCAACCCUGAUCCAGCCAUGCCGCGUGUGUGAAGAAGGCCCUCGGGUUGUCAAGCACUUUCAGUGAGGAAGAACGCCUGGUGGUUAAUACCCAUCAGGAAAGACAUCACUCACAGAAGAAGCACCGGCUAACUCCGUGCCAGCAGCCGCGGUAAUACGGAGGGUGCGAGCGUUAAUCGGAAUUACUGGGCGUAAAGCGCGCGUAGGUGGCUUGAUAAGCCGGUUGUGAAAGCCCCGGGCUCAACCUGGGAACGGCAUCCGGAACUGUCAAGCUAGAGUGCAGGAGAGGAAGGUAGAAUUCCCGGUGUAGCGGUGAAAUGCGUAGAGAUCGGGAGGAAUACCAGUGGCGAAGGCGGCCUUCUGGACUGACACUGACACUGAGGUGCGAAAGCGUGGGUAGCAAACAGGAUUAGAUACCCUAGUAGUC
This 465-nucleotide ribosomal RNA is filed under the name Vreelandella stevensii. RNAcentral's name for it is "partial 16S ribosomal RNA". It matches the Rfam family "Bacterial small subunit ribosomal RNA", at positions 338 to 795 of the family's 1533-position model. The record is from RNAcentral. Lineage: Bacteria; Pseudomonadati; Pseudomonadota; Gammaproteobacteria; Oceanospirillales; Halomonadaceae.